Molecule: non-coding RNA, 1434 nt
Organism: Callithrix jacchus (white-tufted-ear marmoset)
Lineage: Eukaryota; Metazoa; Chordata; Mammalia; Primates; Cebidae
Source: RefSeq, a predicted model, not a curated record
GUCUUGGUUGACUGGUAUCAUUUCUAAUCACCAGUGCCAGGGACCAUACUCAAUAGAAGCAGGGAAGCUGGCAGGGAGAGGCUAAAUGUCAUUUUAAAAAUCAUUAUAAUACAAUUUUAGAUUUGGAAAAAGCCAAGAAAAGAAUCUUAUCAUACAAAGCAUCCAUUGCCAUUCACAUAUUCAUUCAACAAAUAUUUCAGUUCCUUUUAGUUCAGGCUAUUCUCAAUAUUAGGAUUGUCACAGUGAACAAAAGAAAGUCCCUGUUCUCAGUAAACUUUCAUCCCACUUGGGGAGACAAAUCAUAAAUACUGUAUUAGAGUGACAGCCAGCUGCAGUGACAAACAAACCCAAAGUUUCAGAUGGCCACCGAAGGCGUCAAGACCUCAGAUGAGGCCAAAUGUCCCUACCGCCUAGCAGGACAUCCUCUUCCUAGAACUUAGAACUAAUCUCUGUGGCUGGACAAGGUGGCUCACACCUAUAAUCCCAGCAACGAGAGGGUAACGCACAAGGUCUUGGAAAAACCUGAGAUGUCAAAGAUUGACAUCCACCCUGGGCUGGGUAUGGCGGCUCAAGUCUAAUCCCAACACUUUGGGAGGCUGAGGUGGACAGAUGGCUUGAGGUCAGGAGCUGGAGAUCAGCCUGGACAACAUGAUGAAAUUGUCUCUACUAAAAAUAGAAAAUUAGCCAGACUCCCAAUGCCAGGCCCUCCACAGAAACAGAACCGCACACCCUGUGCUGCCUCAGGACAUUUGGAGGAGCAGCUCCUUCUUCCCAGGUGCUCCGUCCUCCUCUUACUCUGGCACCCUUUAGGGCUCACUUCACCAGCACCUCUUUGGGGCUCUCCUUAGGGCCCCCCCUGAGGUCAGGCUCUCCAGCACAUGUCCUCAGGAACCUGAGGUGUCCCUUUCUCAGCAUUUACCACUAUUGCAAUUAUUCUUCGGGGCGAUUUCAUUCGUGCCUUCUAUAGUUAGAUGAUAAAGUCUAUUAGGGGAAGGGUGUGGUGGCUCACACCUGUAAUCUAGUGCUUUGGGAGUCAGAGCCAAGAGGUUUGCUUGAGGCCAGGAGUUUGCGACCAGCCUGGGCAACAUAGAGAGAUCCCAUCCCUACAAAAAAAUAAUAAUAAUAGUAGCCAGGCACAGUGGCUCAUGCCUGUAAUCCCAGCACUCUGGGAGGCCGAGGUGGGCAGAUCAUUUGAGGUCAGCAGUUCAAGACCAAGCCUGUCCAACAGGGUGAAACCCCAUCUCUACUAAAAAACAAUUAGCUGGGUGUGGUGGUGUGCACCUAUAGUCCCAGCUAUUUGGGGGGCUGAGGCUGGAGGGCCUAGACCAAAAUCUGGCAUGCAAUAGGCCAAAAUAUGGACAGUAAUAUUUUGUUAAUUGAAUAGAUGAUUGCUCCCAUUUAGGAGUCAUCUUGUGUCUCCCUGGCUGUGACAUA